This 748-nucleotide ribosomal RNA is filed under the name uncultured bacterium. Its description in RNAcentral is "bacterial SSU rRNA". It matches the Rfam family "Bacterial small subunit ribosomal RNA", at positions 28 to 760 of the family's 1533-position model. The record is from RNAcentral.
GAUGAACGCUGGCGGCGUGCCUAAUACAUGCAAGUCGAGCGAACAGAUAAGGAGCUUGCUCCUUUGACGUUAGCGGCGGACGGGUGAGUAACACGUGGGCAACCUACCUAUAAGACUGGAAUAACUCCGGGAAACCGGGGCUAAUGCCGGAUAACAUAUAGAACCGCAUGGUUCUAUAGUGAAAGAUGGUUUUGCUAUCACUUAUAGAUGGACCCGCGCCGUAUUAGCUAGUUGGUAAGGUAACGGCUUACCAAGGCGACGAUACGUAGCCGACCUGAGAGGGUGAUCGGCCACACUGGAACUGAGACACGGUCCAGACUCCUACGGGAGGCAGCAGUAGGGAAUCUUCCGCAAUGGGCGAAAGCCUGACGGAGCAACGCCGCGUGAGUGAUGAAGGGUUUCGGCUCGUAAAACUCUGUUAUUAGGGAAGAACAUAUGUGUAAGUAACUGUGCACAUCUUGACGGUACCUAAUCAGAAAGCCACGGCUAACUACGUGCCAGCAGCCGCGGUAAUACGUAGGUGGCAAGCGUUAUCCGGAAUUAUUGGGCGUAAAGCGCGCGUAGGCGGUUUCUUAAGUCUGAUGUGAAAGCCCACGGCUCAACCGUGGAGGGUCAUUGGAAACUGGGAAACUUGAGUGCAGAAGAGGAAAGUGGAAUUCCAUGUGUAGCGUGAAAUGCGCAGAGAUAUGGAGGAACACCAGUGGCGAAGCGACUUUCUGGUCUGUAACUGACGCUGAUGUGCGAAAGC